Lemur catta (Ring-tailed lemur) is the source of this 3893-nucleotide RNA transcript. It is a transcript of the gene named bromodomain containing 9, with no coding region annotated. The record is from RefSeq and is a predicted model, not a curated record. NCBI's taxonomy places the organism in Eukaryota, Metazoa, Chordata, Mammalia, Primates, Lemuridae. The transcript has 18 exons.
CGCUGCCUCAGCGGGCUCCGCGACUUAGGCGCCACAAGCGCGGCCGCCCAGCCAGGGCCGGGGGGCGGCGGCGGCCACGCUCCGGCCGGGCUCGAGCGGCUCCCGGCCCCCGCCCCGCGCCCGCCGGCGGCGCCGCCAUGGGCAAGAAGCACAAGAAGCACAAGACCGAGUGGCGCUCGUCCUACGAGGACUAUGCCGACAAGCCUUUGGAGAAGCCCCUGAAGCUGGUCCUGAAGGUCGGAGGGAGUGAGGUGACCGAGCUCUCAGGGUCCGGCCACGACUCCAGCUACUACGAUGACAGGUCAGAUCAUGAGCGAGAAAGGCACAAAGAGAAAAAGAAAAAGAAAAAGAAGAAGUCAGAGAAGGAGAAGCAUCUUGGUGACGAGGAGAGGAGGAAGCGAAAGGAGGAGAAGAAGCGGAAACGAGAGAAGGAACACUGUGAUACAGAGGGAGAGGCCGACGACUUUGACCCUGGGAGGAAGGUGGAGGUGGAGCCGCCCCCGGACCGGCCAGUGCGAGCGUGCCGGACACAGCCAGCUGAAAGUGAGAGCACGCCUAUUCAGCAACUGCUAGAGCACUUCCUCCGCCAGCUCCAGAGGAAAGAUCCUCAUGGAUUUUUUGCUUUUCCUGUCACGGAUGCAAUUGCUCCUGGGUAUUCAAUGAUAAUAAAACAUCCGAUGGAUUUUGGCACAAUGAAAGACAAAAUUGUAGCUAACGAAUAUAAGUCAGUCACGGAAUUUAAGGCGGACUUCAAGCUGAUGUGUGAUAACGCAAUGACCUACAACAGGCCGGACACCGUGUACUACAAGCUGGCCAAGAAGAUCCUCCACGCCGGCUUCAAGAUGAUGAGCAAAGAGCGGCUGUUAGCUUUGAAGCGCAGCAUGUCGUUUAUGCAGGACAUGGAUUUUUCUCAGCAGGCUGCUCUGUUGGGCAAUGAAGACCCAGCUGUUGAGGAACCUGUUCCUGAGGUUGUGCCGGUACAAGUAGAAACUGCCAAGAAAUCCAAAAAGCCGAGUAGAGAAGUCAUCAGCUGUGUGUUCGAGCCUGAGGGCAACGCCUGCAGCCUGACCGACAGCACCGCGGAGGAGCACGUGCUGGCGCUGGUGGAGCACGCGGCCGACGAGGCGCGGGACAGGAUCAACCGGUUCCUCCCAGGCGGCAAGGUGGGCUACCUGAAGCGGAGCGGGGAUGGCAGCCUGCUCUACAGCGUGGUCAACACGGCCGAGCCGGAUGCCGACGAAGAGGAGACCCACCCCGUGGACCUGAGCUCGCUGUCCAGUAAGCUGCUGCCCGGCUUCACCACGCUGGGCUUCAAAGACGAGAGAAGGAACAAAGUCACGUUCCUCUCCAGCGCCAGCUCCGCGCUGUCCACGCAGAACAACUCAGUGUUUGGCGACUUGAAGUCGGAGGAGACGGAGCUGCUGUACUCGGCCUACGGGGACGAGACGGGCGUGCAGUGUGCACUGAGCCUGCAGGAGUUUGUGAAAGACGCCGGGAGCUACAGCAAGAAAAUGGUGGACGACCUCCUGGACCAGAUCACAGGCGGAGACCACUCGCGGGUGCUCCUCCAGCUGAAGCAGAGGAGAAAUGUUCCCGCGAAACCUCCGGACGAAGUGAAGGCUGGAGACGCCCUGGGAGACGGCGGUGGCUCUGUCCUGGAUUUCGUGUCGGUGAAGCCGUAUCCUGACGUGUCCCUGGACAUGUCCCUGCUCAGCUCUCUGGGGAAGGUGAAGAAGGAGCUGGAGCACGAGGACAGCCACCUGACCUUGGACGAGACCACCAAGCUCCUGCAGGACCUGCACGAGGCGCAGGCGGAGCGGGGCGGCUCCCGGCCCUCGUCCAACCUCAGCUCCCUGUCCAACGCCUCCGAGAGGGACCAGCACCACCUGGGAAGCCCUUCCCGCCUCAGCGUCGGGGAGCAGCCGGAUGUGACCCACGAUCCCUAUGAGUUUCUUCAGUCUCCGGAACCUGCGGCCUCUGCAAAGAACUAGCAUCGUCACCCAGCCUCAGGUGUGCUGUUCCAGCCGCUCGCAGCAGCUGCCCGUGGGCCGGGACACAGAGCCUUCACAGGGUGGCACAGGGGUGGCACAUGGGGGUGCUCUCCGGAACAGCCUGGGAGAUGACGCUCCCCAAGGCCAUGGCCCCCCACGCCCGUCAGAACCGCAGCCGUGGGUGCAGCACGAGGUCAGCACUGGGGCAGGCAGGGUGGCCGCCCCUUCGGGCUCCUGUCCCCUCUGACUCUGGGCCUAGCGGGGUUUGGCAGUCACCCCACCCCCAGUGGUCUGGCUUUUGGGCCUGGCCCCCGCCCAGCAGGGGUCCCCUGGGCGCUGGGCAUUCCCCAGCCGCUGUCCCCAGGCCGCCACUGUGGGCAGAGCCGCUGCGCACUGGAGUGCAGUGCUCAGGGAACGUGCCUUGAGUGAGGGUCUGCCCGUGUCCUGUGGGACCGAGAGGGGGAUGGGGACGUUUGUAGGGCUAGGGGCCCCCAGAAGCCCGGCUGAGCUCCCGCAGUUGGGGGCUACCCCGGCCAGCUGUGACCCUGCAGGUUCGAAGGCGCUGGGGACAGGGCAGAGUUCUCCAGGACGGGGUGACCCGCAACUCGCUGACCUUGCCGACAGCUCAGGGCCCUCUCGAGCCACAGGGGGCCCAGCGGCUGCUGGGGUAGGAGUGGGGCCUCCCUGAGCUCAGCGUCUCUGUGGUCCCUGGGCCUGGCCUCGUGGUUGCAGUGUGGCUGCUGUUGUGGCAGCCCCCUCAUGUGGAGGCCAGAGGAGGGGCCACGCCUGCAUCUCCCACAGGACACAGAGCUCUCCGCGGAGGCUGCGGCAGAUGCAGCCAUGGCUCUGCCGCCCCUCCUGGCCCAGCCUGGGGGCAGCUGCGGGCCGGCCCUCUGCACCCUUGCUGGUGUUCCGGGCUGGCCACGGCAUGCUGGCCCCGGCCGUCACGUGGGCAGGGCCUGAUGACGGGACCCUGGCGGGAAGGGGGAGGCAGGCCUUGGGGCGUGAGGGCCGACAGCUCUGACCCCAGGCCAGGACCCCCGUCAGCUGGCGGGUGUGUGUGCUGUGGCUUGUGUGUCCUGCAACGUUCAGGCAUGGCAGCGUCGUGGCAGCGUCGUGGCAGCGUCAUGGCAGCGUCGUGGCAACACGCCAGCAGCGGCAGGCGGGGCCUUUACAGGGUGGUGGCCGGGAGGGCUCUGCCCUCAGGGUGGGAUUAGGGCUCAUAAAGGGGGGUUCACACGGCAUUCGCUCUGCCCUUCUGCUGUGUCCUGUGAGGACGCGGUGGCAGGUGCCACCUGGGAGCAGAGCCCAGGCCUCGCCAGCCACCAAGCCUGCAGCCUUGAGCUGGGACGUCCGGACGUCACGAAACAAAUUUCUGUUGUUUAAACUACUCAGUCUCAGGUUAUAUGGACGUCAUAAAUUACCGCAUGGACCCUGCAAAUUAUUAUGUAUGAAUAAAAACAAAAAGAAAAUAAUUUUUUUGAAAAAGAAGUGUGUGUAAAACUGGUGAAAUUUGAAUAAAUUCUGAAGAUUAUAAAAACACUCUUGGCCCGGCAGGGUGGCUCACACGUGUCAUCCCAGGUCCUCAGGAGGCUGAGGCAGGAGGGUCACUUGAGCCCUGGAGUUGGAUGGCCCAGGGGGCUUGAGGCCGAAGGACGAUGUUGGGGCCAAGUCCCACCACCUCCUGGCAGUGUCCCCAUGGGGCACAUCCUGUCCCCACCGAUGGCCUCCCUGGGAGAGGUGCUGCUAAGGAUGAGAGGGCCAGAAGGUGGGGCCAGGUGGGCCUCACAGACAGAAAACCAGCCAGGCUCACCCCAGCCUGCCCCCCACUGUCUGUCUCUGCCCGUCUGUGUCUCUUUGUCUCUCUGUCUCUUUGUCUCUCUGUCUCUUUGUCUCUCUCUG